GUGACGUUGUUGUAAUGGUGGCAUAGAAGAUUGUGACUCUUCCAGAGGCGGGUUCGAUUCCCCCACGUCACAC
This 73-nucleotide transfer RNA is filed under the name Streptomyces phage Sushi23. Its description in RNAcentral is "tRNA-His". It matches the Rfam family "tRNA". Rfam says of the family: Transfer RNA (tRNA) molecules are approximately 80 nucleotides in length. Lineage: Duplodnaviria; Heunggongvirae; Uroviricota; Caudoviricetes; Stanwilliamsviridae. The record is from RNAcentral. RNAcentral also lists the same sequence under 18 other names.